Microtus oregoni (creeping vole) is the source of this 671-nucleotide long non-coding RNA. RefSeq lists it as uncharacterized. Lineage: Eukaryota; Metazoa; Chordata; Mammalia; Rodentia; Cricetidae. The transcript is spliced from 3 exons. The record is from RefSeq and is a predicted model, not a curated record.
ACAGCGUGACGCACAUGACUCCAGGUUUCCUACGACAGUCAAGAUCACCAGUCCGGAGCUACCUACACCUCUGAAACCGCUAAAGCCGUGCCCUCAGGGACCUCCUGCAAGGACCAGAUGUCUCCUGUGCCAUCUUCUCCUGAUCACCCUUCCACACUGGACCCAGGCAGAGCGGAAUCCUCAAAGAGGAGCCUGCAGUGUCAUGGGAACAGCUUUUCUCAUCCAUGGCCUUUCUGUUUAGGAAUCACAUUUAGGGUCCCCCUGUGCACACCCAGAUGGGGAAUGACACCAAAAGUCAGCUCCUCCUGGAAAUAUUCAUGCUAAAACCCUGACAAGUUCCAAGGGCCCGAGCCCUUUCUCGCAAGCUUGCUCGGGCCUCCUGCUCUGAUCCUGUAGAUAGUCUGCGGCAGGAACACCCUGGGAGGGUGGAACUGCAGGAACUCUGACUCUCCUGGGGCAGAGGAGGAUGCUGCCCACACCCCUCAGCUCAGCCCCCUCCCUUGCUCUCCUCCUUACCACCCACUAAUCACUAAUUAACACAGCAGCAACAGCUCUUUGCACAGUUACGGAACAGGAAAGCGCUCCUUUCCUUUUCCAGCGCCCGCCUCCUUUCCCGCACUACCUGCGCGUGCAGGGCACAUCCCUUCUCUUUACUAUUUAGCUCCCCUAAC